AGGGUAUKKGCCCUCMGUAGCGGCGAGUGAAGCGGCAAGAGCUCAGAUUUGAAAUCUCACCUAGUGUGCGAGUUGUAAAUUGCAGGUUGGAGUCUCGGGUUAGACGUGUGUGCAAGUCCCUUGGAACAGGGUGCCACUGAGGGUGAGAGCCCCGUAGCGUGCAUGUCGACACCUGUGAGGCCCUUCUGACGAGUCGAGUUGUUUGGGAAUGCAGCUCUAAGUGGGUGGUAAAUUCCAUCUAAGGCUAAAUAUUGGCGAGAGACCGAUAGCGAACAAGUACUGUGAAGGAAAGAUGAAAAGCACUUUGAAAAGAGAGUGAAACAGCACGUGAAAUUGUUGAAAGGGAAGGGUAUUGGGCUCGACAUGGGAUUUACGCAUCGUUGCCUCUCGUGGGCGGCGCUCUGGGUUUUUCCUGGGCCAGCAUCGGUUUUCGUUGCAGGAUAAGGACAAUUGGAAUGUGGCUCCUCGGAGUGUUAUAGCCUUUUGUAGAUGCUGCGURUGGGGACCGAGGGCUGCGGCGGACUYGUUUCGUCUCGGAUGCUGGCACAACGGCGCAAUACCGCCCGUCUUGAAACMCGGAC
Molecule: ribosomal RNA, 581 nt
Filed under: Pichia kluyveri
Lineage: Eukaryota; Fungi; Ascomycota; Pichiomycetes; Pichiales; Pichiaceae
Description: LSU rRNA
Rfam family: Eukaryotic large subunit ribosomal RNA
Source: RNAcentral